Molecule: non-coding RNA, 100 nt
Organism: Tinamus guttatus (white-throated tinamou)
Lineage: Eukaryota; Metazoa; Chordata; Aves; Tinamiformes; Tinamidae
Source: RefSeq, a predicted model, not a curated record
AUUUUUGUACAUUUCAAAGUUAUAUACUAACAAAAAUGCCUCCAUGUUAUAAAGUAGGUGAAAAUGCAUUUAUGAUGGGUAUAGAGAAUCCAAAUCAAGA